AACGUAGGAGACGAACGUUAUCCGGAGUUACUGGGCGUAAAGGGCGUGUAGGCGGUUUGUUAAGUCUGGCGUGAAAGCUCUCGGCUAAACCGGGAGAGGUCGUUGGAUACUGGCGAACUAGAGGAUGGUAGAGGCGUGUGGAAUUCCGGGUGUAGUGGUGAAAUGCGUAGAGAUCCGGAGGAACACCAGUGGCGAAGGCGACUCGCUGGGCCGUACCUGACGCUAAGACGCGACAGCAUGGGGAGCGAACGGG
This 253-nucleotide ribosomal RNA is filed under the name uncultured bacterium. Its description in RNAcentral is "partial 16S ribosomal RNA". It matches the Rfam family "Bacterial small subunit ribosomal RNA", at positions 524 to 776 of the family's 1533-position model. The record is from RNAcentral.